This 220-nucleotide ribosomal RNA is filed under the name uncultured bacterium. RNAcentral's name for it is "partial 16S ribosomal RNA". It matches the Rfam family "Bacterial small subunit ribosomal RNA", at positions 556 to 775 of the family's 1533-position model. The record is from RNAcentral.
GGGUUUAAAGGUUGCGUAGGCGGAUUGAUAAGUCAGUGGUGAAAGGCUGCAGCUUAACUGUAGACUUGCCGUUGAUACUGUCAGUCUUGAGUAUGGCCAAGGCAGGCGGAAUGUGUAAUGUAGCGGUGAAAUGCUUAGAUAUUACACAGAACACCGAUUGCGAAGGCAGCUUGCUGGGCCAUCACUGACGCUCAUGCACGAAAGCGUGGGGAUCGAACAG